CAAAAUGUGGCAUUCAAUUCCAAUCAUGUGUUGCCACCUGAACCGCCUGAAAGUGAGAUAUGGAUCACAAUGAACAAUGACAGCUUAUCAAUCUUUAACAAAUUCACACUGAAACAUUGAAAGGAUAAAGACAAGUUAGUUGUUUUCUGUUUCAGUAUGUUCAGGGUUUGUGGGGAGGUUCACAGACAUCCUCAGGGAGGAUACCAAGUAUUGAAAUGUCCGGAUGAAUAAAAGAGACAGUCAUCUGUGCAGCAUCAAUGCAAAGAAAGACCAUAGAAGAGCAACAAAACUGAAGUCCUGCUUGAGAUCCCUGGAUGAGUACUCCAGGUUGACAGUCUGGAAGGACGAGACAAGGGAGUCCUAAACAGAGGCUGCACCCCUUCAGAUAUCAGAGGUGAUUUGCAGACAGCGAUGACGAGGGUCCUGUUAUUUCAAUGGAGGCCGACCGAGAAGUUGUAUUCCAAAUGGUACUGGGACACACAAAGGCUGGUCUGGCUAAUGUGAGAAGACCAACCAAUGCCAAGCUGGAGUGGAAUUCUUCCAGGACAUUCAGGAAAUUCUUGUCUUGAGCCAUAUGGUAAACACUUGAAAGGAAUGAUAAAUGGGACUUAUUGUCUUUAAAUGUGGACCCAGACACCAAAUGAAAAGUUCACAAUUCAUCUAACACAAUGCAGCAGAGAUAGAGUCUAACUGGUAUCCCCUUAUCCUGGUUCCUGUUCAUCCAUGGCAAUAUAGAAAGAAAAGGAGGAUUGAGGGAAAGUAAGUUCUCUGAACUGGUGAACAUACUCCGUAGGUACUGUCAAGCAAACAGUUAUCACACUCUGUUAUGAGUAUUGAAGAAUAGGAUGAAAUUGCAUACUGCAUCAGGAACCAUCAUGUGAACACUGUUCAAUGUGCAAUAUACUAUAGGCAUAUGAAUAAAAGAAAUUGAUAA
RNAcentral lists this long non-coding RNA (934 nucleotides) under Haliotis rufescens (red abalone). Its description in RNAcentral is "uncharacterized LOC125383553, transcript variant X2". Lineage: Eukaryota; Metazoa; Mollusca; Gastropoda; Lepetellida; Haliotidae. The record is from RNAcentral.